RNAcentral lists this ribosomal RNA (218 nucleotides) under Bacillus subtilis. RNAcentral's name for it is "partial 23S ribosomal RNA". It matches the Rfam family "Bacterial large subunit ribosomal RNA", at positions 2708 to 2925 of the family's 2925-position model. Lineage: Bacteria; Bacillati; Bacillota; Bacilli; Caryophanales; Bacillaceae. The record is from RNAcentral.
GCUGGUGGACCAGUUGUUCUGCCAAGGGCAUCGCUGGGUAGCUAUGUGCGGACGGGAUAAGUGCUGAAAGCAUCUAAGCAUGAAGCCCCCCUCAAGAUGAGAUUUCCCAUUCCGCAAGGAAGUAAGAUCCCUGAAAGAUGAUCAGGUUGAUAGGUCUGAGGUGGAAGUGUGGCGACACAUGGAGCUGACAGAUACUAAUCGAUCGAGGACUUAACCAU